CCUUUGAAGAAAUUCAGAGACACAAUCGGAAUAAUAUGGGUUUAAUCUCUUGUUUUCGCAGAAUUGGCAAUGGCAGUCAAGCGAACGAAGUGUACCACAACAAAGAAUCGUACGAUUGAUGUAUGGUGUAGCAUUGCAGUCUUUUUAACUCAUGAGCUAUUCUUCUGUCUAACAAUCCUGUUGUUCCGAGAACUUCUGCCGAAUAUUGAUGCAUGGAUCUCAGUGGAUUUUUUGAUGGUGCUUUCGGUUUUUAUUCUACGUUUCAUAGCGUUCAGCAUAGAACAUUUGAUGCUUAUUUAUCAUAUGAUUCAAGGGACUGAAUAUAAGGUAUGGCGCCUGUGCCUAAAAAUUAGAAGAUUGUACUUCGCUUACUGCACUGCGAUGAUUAUUGGUAUGGCACUAGUCGUUGAGGUUGGAACUGAGAGCGGGCGUUUUGCACUGUCAUUUUUAGUAGCAAUAUGUCUUCAUCAUGAACUAAGUACGAUUGGUAUGCAUGUGGUUCGUCACCACUAGAUAUACAAGGGCAAGGGCAAGGACAAGGGCAACUCAUUUUAUGCGUUCAGAUUGAUGCCUGCCAUUAUUUUUGGUGGUCUUGCAAUCCUGAUAUUUUUAAUACGAAAUCUCCCAAUGCAAUUAACACAUGGAACCAAAUCAUCAAUGGAUCUUGCAAUCCAAGAAAUCAAAGAAGUGAAUCGCAAUCAAGCAAUAAAGAUGCUAUUUCCUGAUCCAAAAGAUAAAAACGAUGUGACCUUUGGAACAUCCCUAUUAUUAAUUAUGCUAUAUGUUACUUUUCUGAGUUUCGAGCUAUUUCUCGCAGUUGAAUAUUGCCCUGGACUCAAACAUGCAGGAUUCUUGAAACUGUGGCAAGAGUCAUCUAAGAAGCUCCGAGAUUUAUAUUCUCGGUUGAAGACACCCAAGAGUAAAACCACAAUAGAAACAAUAUAAGGUUGAUUCGAAAAUAUGAUGAUUCAUUUUUGCAUUUCUUUAACUUUAAAUGAAAGUGUAAAUCAACGAAUGGAAGAUUUGAACAAUAUUGAUUACUGAAUCUGUUCCAUUAUUCAUUUGAACUAAUCGAACGAAAAUAAAGUAUGAAUUUUCAAUAACAA
This is a long non-coding RNA of Sitodiplosis mosellana (orange wheat blossom midge), 1106 nucleotides long. RefSeq lists it as uncharacterized. The record is from RefSeq and is a predicted model, not a curated record. NCBI's taxonomy places the organism in Eukaryota, Metazoa, Arthropoda, Insecta, Diptera, Cecidomyiidae. The transcript has 5 exons.